This 111-nucleotide unclassified non-coding RNA is filed under the name uncultured Ascomycota. RNAcentral describes it as "sequence contains ITS1". The record is from RNAcentral. Lineage: Eukaryota; Fungi; Ascomycota.
CUGAAUGGCCUUCAACCUUGCAAACCUGCGGAAGCAAGAUGUGCUUCGGCGCCUCGGCGUCGCUUUUAUGCUUUACUCAGUCUUUUGUGUCUGAAUAAAAUACAAGAAAUA